RNAcentral lists this non-coding RNA (21 nucleotides) under Caenorhabditis elegans. Lineage: Eukaryota; Metazoa; Nematoda; Chromadorea; Rhabditida; Rhabditidae. The record is from RNAcentral.
UUUAUUGGGUAUUGGAAUUGA